Long non-coding RNA from Acinonyx jubatus (cheetah), 2224 nucleotides. RefSeq lists it as uncharacterized. Lineage: Eukaryota; Metazoa; Chordata; Mammalia; Carnivora; Felidae. The record is from RefSeq and is a predicted model, not a curated record. The transcript has 3 exons.
UAGACGAAGCCGGGCUCCCCCUUCACUCGAUGGACACUUUGAUUUCUUUCCAUUCUCGCCUUCAUCUCUCACCCUUCCAUCCCUCACAACUGCCUUCUGGAAAGCCUUCUCUCUUGUACUCGCCACCUUAAGUUUGGCCCUCACUCCAAAGCUUUGCCCUAAACAACCGACUCUGUUUGACCUUGACCCUCUUCCAUUAUGUCAUCAAAUUUGGUAGCUUAAUACAUUUGUUAAAAGGGCGACUGACCCCAACCCCCUCGAAUUUUUCAGCUUCGCAUUACCUUUUCUAUUGUCCACUCCCCUUCCUAUCAGAACCUACUUUCUGUCCUCAGCCUCUUCAAGAUUUCCAGAAAUCCUCUUGACAUCUGCCCCUUUCCCAGUUUCUUUUCCACUUUUCUCACAGCAGAAGAGAGAUUGGGAAUGGCUACCUAGGUUGAGUCCCCUUUGUAUUUUUCUGACACCACCCUUUUUUCUGUGACCCUGAAAUCACAUUAUUUGGGUCCCGUGGGUGUGGCUGUAGUUGGGAGUGUGGGAGUUCUAUUGCUACUGCCCUUAGCAGUCUCUUUGCUUGGAAGCUCAAGUAAAGGAAACUUCUGGGAACUGACCAGAGACCCUUGAAAUGCAACUUGAGUAAACAUCUCAGUCCACCUCUGCUUGGUCACUCUUUAGUUCAUACACCAUCUGCCUCUUCCCACCUCUGGACUCUCUUCACCCCUGUCCCUGCCCCCCCUCGACAUCACAUUGUUCAUCCCUUUGGCACCAGCCCUAGAAGAGGAAAGGGCAGGUCCUCCUCCCCAGGAAGGAAGGUGGGGCAGAGUAGCUCCAGCAGGAAGGGAAGGAAAAAGGAGGGAAGGAAGGAAGUGGCCAACAGAAGAAAUGGAAUCCGGUGGGAGGGCUUUGCAUUGUUUUAACUUCUUUCCUUUUUAGCUCGGUGAAGCCAUGCCCAAGGCCAUCCCAGAGCCAAGGUUAUGCUGCCAUCUCUGAGAAACCGGCUGGGACUGCCUGCCUUAGCCUGGAGGGGACGGUCAGAGGAUUUGGUGGACAUAUUUAAGAGAGCAAAGCAUGAGGCUCUACAGGAGGAAAAUGGAUGAUGUGCCCUGGACUUUCUGGAGUUUAUGCCCAGUGGAGACCCAGACAGGUCAACAGGCAGUUACAAUGAAGUUUGACUGGAGUCCCAGCCUUGGCCCUGAGGAUAUGCAGGAGUUGGUGAGAAAGGGGAAGAUAGUGAUGGUAAGUAGCCAGGAAGCUCCUUCCAGGUAAGGGAUGUCUGUAGAGUUGGCAGAACCCUGAGGGGGGAUCUCCACAGAGCCUUCAUUCCCACCUCCCUGGAGGGGGCUGGGAGAAAGCUACAGGUGCCUGUACCUCAUCAGUCAUGCCUGAGAGCCAGACACUGUUACCAGUGCUCUUGUUGGGGAGAGAAGGUAGCUCAAGGUGGCGUGGAUCUGAUGGUCGAGGGCUGUGACAUCUGUCAUGGCACUUCUUGGCUUUCCCACUGGGAACAAUAAAAUAGCCAACACUUUCCUAGUGCUUAUUAUGUGUGCUUUACGCAUGUGUUCUAUGAGGCAAGUGCUAUUAAUACUGGCUCAUUAUCACAGAUGGGGAAACUGAGGCACAGAGCAGUUGAAUAACUUGUUCAGGGUCAUACAGGCAGAGUCUGGACUCAAAUUCAGGGAGUCAGGCGCCAGAGCCCUCACAUAUACCCAUUACACUAUCCUAGUGGUACCUGUGAACAACGGGAGACGGUGAAUGCCUCUUGGGCUGUUGGUAAAGACAACUGCAGGUGCAAAAUCUCUGAAAUACUCCCAUUUCAUCUUAAAAAUCCACAUACAUCUUGCAUCUAUUAAAAGUCCCUAUAUGUUUAAUCAAGACAAUGCCUCCCACCAAGUAACCAAGUAAAAGUGAUGCUUCAGAGAGAUAUGCCACAUCAUCCCGAGGCACCGAAGAGCCCCAGAGACACGGUCUGUGGCGGGAGCUGUGCCACCAGGCCCAGGUUUCAGAGCAGGAAGAGCUCGGGCUCUCUGGGGAGUUGGACAGGGAGGGACUGGAGCAUUUCGUGGUGGAGCUGCCUUGCUGUUUCCCUUCCACCUCUUCCCCUGACUACACUGGCCACCCUCUCAAGUCAGGGUGCUGUGACUUCCCCACAUGACCUUCGCUGUGAAGGUCACCUGGAAACUGGCUACUCCUGCUUCGUAGUCACUAGGCUGCCUUGUUUGUGACUGCUGUU